This 396-nucleotide long non-coding RNA is filed under the name Musa acuminata (dwarf banana). Its description in RNAcentral is "long non-coding RNA (MACU_LNC005538)". Lineage: Eukaryota; Viridiplantae; Streptophyta; Magnoliopsida; Zingiberales; Musaceae. The record is from RNAcentral.
ACUGUUGGCCAAGCUUAAAAUAUAAAGGAUAUCAACUUUACACAUGUUCAGAAUUGCAACUGGACUAUUUGAUCUGCUAAAUGAGAGGUCCAACGUUACACAUGCUUUGCACUGCUUUGAUUCAUGUGGAUAAGGAAAACAGUUUCUGUCUUGCAGUGCAACCAUAAAGAAGAUGUUUCCUAUAUUAUUCAAAUACAGUGAGAGGAAAGAUCCUGCCACUGACAUCAAAUCAAAAACCCUGAUGUUGCUGAGAGAAUCUCAUGUUCAAUUUCCCGCACAGCCUGUGUUCAUGUGAUGAGAAGGUUUACUGACUGUCUGACCGACUAAAGCUAUUUUCGAUCUGAGACCAAUGUCUGCUAAUGCAAUUACGUUGAGAGUGGAUGGCUUUUGUGAUUG